Molecule: small nuclear RNA, 163 nt
Gene: U2
Rfam family: U2 spliceosomal RNA
About the family: U2 is a small nuclear RNA (snRNA) component of the spliceosome (involved in pre-mRNA splicing).
Source: Ensembl
AUCGUUUCUCAGCCUUUUGGCUAAGAUCAAGUGUAGUAUCUGUUCUUAUCAGUUUAAUAUCUGAUACGUUCCCCCAGCGGGGGACUACAUUUUUUGUAGGGUGGUGGUAGCCUAGUGGGUAACACCCUCGCCUGUGAACCUGAAGACCCAGGUUCAAAUCCCG